This 253-nucleotide ribosomal RNA is filed under the name uncultured bacterium. RNAcentral's name for it is "partial 16S ribosomal RNA". It matches the Rfam family "Bacterial small subunit ribosomal RNA", at positions 524 to 776 of the family's 1533-position model. The record is from RNAcentral.
UACGUAGGGGGCAAGCGUUGUCCGGAAUCAUUGGGCGUAAAGCGCGUGUAGGCGGCCCGGUAAGUCCGCUGUGAAAGUCGGGGGCUCAACCCUCGAAUGCCGGUGGAUACUGUCGGGCUAGAGUGCGGGAGAGGCGAGUGGAAUUCCUGGUGUAGCGGUGAAAUGCGCAGAUAUCAGGAGGAACACCAAUUGCGAAGGCAGCUCGCUGGAACGUAACUGACGCUGAACGGCGAAAGCUAGGGGAGCAAACGGG